AGGAGCGACCAUACCAGCACUAAUGCAUCAGAUCCCAUCGGAACUUCGAAGUUAAGCGUGCCUGGGCGAGAAUGGUACUAAGACGAACUUUGUCACAGGACUUC
Molecule: ribosomal RNA, 104 nt
Filed under: Cephalotus follicularis
Lineage: Eukaryota; Viridiplantae; Streptophyta; Magnoliopsida; Oxalidales; Cephalotaceae
Source: RNAcentral